GUGGGGAAUAUUGGACAAUGGGCGAAAGCCUGAUCCAGCCAUGCCGCGUGUGUGAAGAAGGUCUUCGGAUUGUAAAGCACUUUAAGUUGGGAGGAAGGGCAGUAAGUUAAUACCUUGCUGUUUUGACGUUACCGACAGAAUAAGCACCGGCUAACUUCGUGCCAACAGCCGCGGUAAUACGAAGGGUGCAAGCGUAAAUCGGAAUUACUGGGCGUAAAGCGCGCGUAGGUGGUUUUGUAAGUUGGAGGUGAAAUCCCCGGGCUCAACCUGGGAACUGCCUCCAAAACUGCAUGACUAGAGUACGGUAGAGGGUAGUGGAAUUUCCUGUGUAGCGGUGAAAUGCGUAGAUAUAGGAAGGAACACCAGUGGCGAAGGCGACUACCUGGACUGAUACUGACACUGAGGUGCGAAAGCGUGGGGAGCAAACAGGAUUAGAAACCCGAGUAGUCC
This 450-nucleotide ribosomal RNA is filed under the name uncultured bacterium. Its description in RNAcentral is "partial 16S ribosomal RNA". It matches the Rfam family "Bacterial small subunit ribosomal RNA", at positions 354 to 796 of the family's 1533-position model. The record is from RNAcentral.